GAGUUUGAUCCUGGCUCAGGACGAACGCUGGCGGCGUGCCUAAUACAUGCAAGUCGAGCGAGCUUGCCUAGAUGAUUUUAGUGCUUGCAUUAAAUGAAACUAGAUACAAGCGAGCGGCGGACGGGUGAGUAACACGUGGGUAACCUGCCCAAGAGACUGGGAUAACACCUGGAAACAGAUGCUAAUACCGGAUAACAACACUAGACGCAUGUCUAGAGUUUGAAAGAUGGUUCUGCUAUCACUCUUGGAUGGACCUGCGGUGCAUUAGCUAGUUGGUAAGGUAACGGCUUACCAAGGCAAUGAUGCAUAGCCGAGUUGAGAGACUGAUCGGCCACAUUGGGACUGAGACACGGCCCAAACUCCUACGGGAGGCAGCAGUAGGGAAUCUUCCACAAUGGACGAAAGUCUGAUGGAGCAACGCCGCGUGAGUGAAGAAGGGUUUCGGCUCGUAAAGCUCUGUUGGUAGUGAAGAAAGAUAGAGGUAGUAACUGGCCUUUAUUUGACGGUAAUUACUUAGAAAGUCACGGCUAACUACGUGCCAGCAGCCGCGGUAAUACGUAGGUGGCAAGCGUUGUCCGGAUUUAUUGGGCGUAAAGCGAGUGCAGGCGGUUCAAUAAG
RNAcentral lists this ribosomal RNA (618 nucleotides) under uncultured bacterium. RNAcentral's name for it is "bacterial SSU rRNA". It matches the Rfam family "Bacterial small subunit ribosomal RNA", at positions 9 to 587 of the family's 1533-position model. The record is from RNAcentral.